UGCUACAGUUCUCAACAAACAGUUCUCAAACAAACCAUUUCCUAUGGCACUACUGUUUCCCUUGGAGAGAAGACAUUUUUCCUUGGUGCUGUCUUCCUGGAUGCCCAUCCAUUAUUCCCUGCUUUCUCUGUCAUCAUGCUGCUGCUGGGGAAUUUAGGGGUCUUAGCUGUGGGAAGAGAGCAAAGAGCUGCCUUUUCCUUACUAUGUUCUGAGAUACAUCCUGCUUUCUUAAGUUUAAAGGUUAUUCGGUCUUUUUAAGGUAGUUAAGAGGUAACAGAAUGUGGUAAAAAUUUUGACAGGAGAAGUCUAACAGCAUCACCACUACACCACACUCCCGAGGGUGGUAAUGAGUCAAGUGGGUGCUGUGCAUCCCAGCUCCUGUGCCCAUCUCGGAGCAUGGCUCCUGUCCCUGCUUCCUGUCCAUCCUUCCUGGUGGUUGCUCCAUGGCCCAGGAGGGAUUGUUACAGAGGGUUUCAAGUGUUGCAAAGAAGCUGUGAGAACCAGGUCCCUGUUUCCUCCUGAAGCUGGGUGCAGUUGGACUCUGUAACUCCUCUGGGCAUUUAUGAAAAUUAACGUUUGGGUCAUUUCCGCCUUAACAGCCCCUUUCCAAGGAUGUUGGUGUGUAACUUAGAGGGUUUAUUUCCUCAAGACAGAUGCCAAGCUACAAGCAUGGAAAAUCUGAAAAAUCAGAGAAACCUCUGAGAGGUCAAGAAUAAUAUAAAGUUUUUUCAAUCUGUCAUCCAAAAUGCUUGUGUAGCUCUGUGCCUUGACAGGUCUCCCAGUAACAUUGAGUAAGGUGAGUUUUGGUUCUACCUCUUUUUUUAUACAAAGCCUGCUGUGUCCUUACCUGCCCUCCCAUCCCCAACCUCCUCUGUUCACCCAGAUCCUGCAGUCUGUCUUUGUGCCUCCUCAUUUUAUCAUAGCCCUUCCUCCUGAUGCAAUGCUGCACAAAGAAAUGUCUCUGUGAGAAGCCCUAGUGCAUAUACUCUGCCUUCUCUUGUAUUGUACGUGCAUGCUUUCCUUUUCUUGUUUUUAGGGGUGUCACCAUAGUUCCAGCAUCAAAACUAUUCCCUGUUCCUCAUUACAGAUAAUUCCAUAAAUGUAUUUCUAGUGGCAUUUUUUUAUUUUUCAUGGCACUCCAACAGGAAAUGAAAGCUUCAUAGUUUUAGAGAUGCAGCUGUUCCUUGCUAAUAUCUCCCAAAAAUAAUACCAAAAAUGAGGAUGGGUUUUCUGUCUUCAAGUGUUUGUUCAUACUUUUCAAUCUGUUAAAUUUGUUUUCUUUGCACUUUGACUUGCUGAUUUGUUAAGUGUGAGAUGGUGCUUGUGUUCCUGAAAGCAAGUGCUUCAAAUUCAGGUUUAUAAAGUCAAAUUUCAGUUCCUGUGCUUGAAAAUGGGACUUAAAAAAAUCAGAAAGGAAGCUCUCUCUUUGCCCAAAACCUGCCUUGCUCUCAGGUAUUGCUUGUCACAGCUCAGCUUAUAGCCUCACAUGAUGAGUGGCCUGUGCCUAUUUGGAGGUGAGUAGAUAAACAUGCUAUCCUCUGCUCACCUAACCCUGGCUCCCAUGCCUUUUGACAGGUUUUAAAAAAGGCUGGUCUUUUUUGGUGUUUUCACAGAGGAAGAACAUUGUGCUAUUUUAUCUAGUGAAGACAAGAUACUCCAAAGCAGCAGUAACCAUGUUACAAGACCACACCUAGCUCUGGUAGCCUCAGCGCAGCAGUCUACAAAGACCAGAGACCAAUGUCUGUGCUUGUAUUUUUUACAACUUAAUCAGGUGUCACUUGUCCCUGUUAAAUAAGAGGAAGACUUGCUAGAGGGAAGAAUUCCCCAAAUGCCUUGCAAGAGCCCCAUGAUUUUCCGUAUGGGCUAUGUGAAAUAAAUCCUCUUGUCACACCAGUCCCUGCGGUACAGCCCGGUGACUGGCAGUGGGGCUGUGGCAGGCAGCAAACCUCCAGGUUUCGUUCAGGUGGAGCCAGCAAUUCACUUGAGUGUGCUGCUAAUAGCCUGCCACUUUCCACUACAGAAAAUUAAGUGCAAAAGUUUGAAAGAGAGUGACAUUAGUUUCAAGAUAUGCCAUAAUGUAUUUGUGUACAGAUUAUAAGGCUCGCUGCUUCUCUUCAUGGGGAGCUUUAUUGGCCCUUUAGACUCACCCUGUUUUUACCUGUUCUAAAUAAAGCAGGUUGUUAGGUCACCUAAAAAUCUCUUGCUUGCAUGAGAUAAAGCUUACAUCAAAAGGGGUGUUCCAAAAAGUUAGAGAAACCCAGUGCUGCCAGGACAGAAAGGUGGUAAUGCUUACUUUAGGGGAAUGUUUAUAGGAGUCAUCGACUGAAGUCCCCCAGACUUUGAUUGGAGAAUAAAUCUGAGAGGAGAUGUUCACUCUAAACACUGCAGUGGAUGGGCGGGGGAGGGCAUGCGGAUUGAACUCAGAAAAACUAAUUUUCCAUUGCUUGGAUAAUCCCUUCAGAAUCUGUUUUUUGAGCAUCAGGAAAAGAUCCUAUCUCUUUAUUAAUGCCUCUGUAGUGCUUGUGUUGGAGUGGAAUGGGUGUCAGCGGAUGAGUAGCUGUGCAAAGGCUGUUUCCAUGACUGGUCAGCAGCUGAAAGCUCUGAAGCUGAACUGUUUAAAUCUGUGAUUAUAUGCAACACAUGAAAUUUAUUCUAGAAAAUUAUGCUGGAACAUGAGAAACACUGGAAUGGCAACAUGCACUCAAACAGUCAGAUGAAUUGCAAUAUCGCAGUCCAUUAAGUCAAAUAAAAAAAUCCACUAUUGUUAAAGUGGAGAACCAAAGGUCUGUGAUAUACAUCUGUUAUUUCUCAAUAUAUUAAGCAUAGUUUGUAUCCAUUAGGACUUAAAAAUUUUAAGCUAAUCUGGUGAAUGUAUGGAUGAAUCUUGUCAAAACACAGUAUAUGUUGCCUCACUAUUUCCAAACCUCAGCAGGAUAUAGCCAGCAAUUCUGUCUUAUAUUUUCUGUGUUCUUUUAAAAACAGCUGGGUUAGAUCCAGAUCACUGGCUCAGGCUGAUACAGACAAAAUUAUGUUGUAGCUUCCAGUUUAUAUUAAAGGAGAAUAGGGAUUUUUUAAUUUAUAUUUUUGUUCUCUAGAGGAUGAGCCAUAGGUGCUACAUAACUUUGUGAAUGUUUUCAGCUGAAAAGAACAGUUUUUAUACCAUACAAAGUGGAAGUGGGGAGUACUUAAUCACCUCCAGAGACAUCUAAGGUUGAUUCUUAUAUCAAUAAUGGCUUUAUAAACUUUGUACUGUUGGAAAAGUCAAAAUGCAUAUUUGCUAUUGUUUUUUUACUUACAGUACUUAGACAUUUUUUUCUCCCUGAAGUAGAAAGGAUGACAAUAUUUUUGCCUUUGUGCCUCUCAGAUGAAAACAGGCACUUUGAAAGCAAAUUAGACACAUGAGCAGGAAAUAAUGUGGUUGUUUUGUCAUUUUCAGCCUGCGUACAGUGAGGUUUCUGUCUGAUGGGCUGGUGAAAGGGAAUGCAAGGAUGAGUUGCUUGACAGUGUGUAAUCUGUCAAUAUAUAAUUUGUCAACAUAUAAUCUAAAGCAGCCUCUGGAGAAAUAAGUACAUGCUUUGUGGUUGCAUUCAUAAUGAAUUCAAUGAAAUGCAGAAACUUUGUAUAAAGCCCGGAUAAUCUAGCCAUAAAACUAUGCUAAUUGAAAAGAUCUUUCUAAUUUCAGGAUGGAGUUCUUGUGAGCUGGUAAGGCUGUAUGUAAAAAAAACAUGUCACAGUGCUGUUGAAGGAAGAAAAGCACGUUCUGGUAUUCAGUUGUUUUGCCAGUUCUCUUAUGUUUCAGCACAGGUUGCAACACCUCUCAGAGUUCCAAGCCACUUUUUCCUCACCUGUCCCUGCCUGCUGUCUGUAAUUUAGGUGUGCCUCAUGAGCUCCUCUGUGAAGUUUAUAUAAUUAAAAUAACCUUUGUGGAGGAGCAAAGAGCAAUUCGGUUUGACUGGGAACCUUGACUUGACUUUGCUUAGUGCAGUGGUUUCCUUAACACAAUGUAAAAUCAAAUAAGUAGCUGAGUAUGACACUAAUGGUCCAGAAAAUAUAUAAGAUACUAGAGACACAGAGAACAGUAAUAGGAAUGGGGAGAAAAAUAGCCUGAAUUUCUCACUCGUGCUCUUUGCUUCCACAUUACAAUGUGUGAAAGACAGCAGAAGCUUAUGUGUUGUUAGCCAGCAGGCAUGGCCACCCCAAAUGCCACCUAUCAUACAGGAACUUUUUAAUGCAGGGUCCAGAAAUCCAUGGUUAGAUUCUCAUUCUGCUCUUCAUAAGCCCCAACCCAGAGAAGAAAAAUGUCUUAUAAUUCUGGAAGAGUCAGUCUGUGAACACUACAUCCCUCCUUCAAAGAAAGUAAAUUCCUGGUACUGCCCAGCACGCUUUUUGCUCACCAUUUCAUUUUUAUGAGCUCUAAAUAUAGUUCCCAAUUGAAAAAGCUGAAACAUUUAAUGUCUAAGAUAGAAUAAUGUGAACUGAUCAAAACUGGCAUUGAUAUAGCCUCUCUCUCAUCUCUUGCUCUUUGUUCCUGGCACCUUCUUUGCACCGAGUGUUUUUCUGACUAAGCCAUGAGCCAAAUUGGUAAAAAUAGACUCCCAAACUGCUGACCAAACAUUUCCACCUCCUUUCUUCAAUCAGAUCUAAUGCUCAUGUACUAUAUGCUGUGUUGAUUCAGCAUUCAAAACCAAUGAAAUAAAAAACUGGUCUGUUUCUUUGUAUUUCUCAUAUCAGUUCGCUUUCCCAUAAGCUUUAUCUUAUCCUCUUACCCCACAGCUGUGACCAAUUCACCAAUGCACAGGAGAGCUUGGGGAAGGGGAGGCCAAACAGAAGAGUUUUUUGUUUUGUUUUGGUGGGGUUUUUUUUUUGUUUGUUUUUUUGGGUUUUUUUUUGUUUUUUUAGUGGAAGCCUCUAACUAGAGAGGUCUAGGCUGAAGAGUGGUUCAGGAUGGUCAAAAUUGACCUGAAGCCCUCUGAGAAAUGGUUCAGCCUGUGCUCAGCUGCAAGAGCACUGGCAAAAUGUGAGAGAAUUGUCUUGUCUUGCUGGGGAGUUUCAGGGCUAAACCCUCUUUUUUGCUGAUCUCAAGGGCUCACUUCUUAUAGUGGUAUAAGCCUAAAGUAACCCAUUGUCAAGUGGUUUAAGCUUUUUUUACACUGAAAGUGUAGCUUCAGUCUAAAAACAUGCAACUUAUGAGAAGUGUAUUGAAUUGGAACUUGUCCCAUGGAACUGGGGAAUGAAGUAGUUCAGAGUGCAGAUUCAGCUACUAAUGAUGGCUGGAUAGUAUUCCAGUUGAAUCAGCUUGCAUGAACCAUCUUUAAUGUGCCCGCAUGAACAUUAGCACUGGCUGGCAUGGGAGAGGAGGACAAAGCUAUAGUAACAUAGGCUUAAAUUGCAAUGACAUUUUGUCCUGGAGUGAGCUGAUAAGCAGGUUACAUCUCUGCAGGUGGGGAGAUUUAAUCAAUGAAACUACAAUCAGCCCAGACCAGAAAAAAAGCAGUGGGAGUAGAAGGUGGAGAUUUCACUGACUCCAUUCCGUCGGGGAGUAAUCCCGUCCGUGUUUUCCCUCCAACCGAGUGACUCCAUUUCCAUGUUGAAAUGGAUGGUGAGGAUGGGAGAAGGUCUGGGAUGCUCUUUUCCCUCUGCUUUAAAUCGUUGGCUUUGCUGGUUCAGAGGAAGCCAAGAGUAGGACUGACAAGACAGAUGGAAGCUGCUGAACUGUUACACAGCUUGUUAGGGAAGCGCAGAGCCCUUUAAAGCUGAGGCUGCAGCCAGGGUUUACCUCUUGAGAAACAGCAGCAAUCCCCAAAGUAAGUAGUUUGCAUGGGCUACGAAUCUGCCUCAAAAUAAGCAGCAUGCAUGCAGCCUGUAAGGCUGAACUCCAAAUAAACCCUUUUUAUUUCAGCUGCAAUAUGGGAUGACACUGAGCAAACAUAUUGUGAGUCUCCCCUGUUCUGUGCUCAGUAUCCCAGACCACUGACUGUGCUGCCACACCAAGCUGUGGGUCACACAUCUGUAGUCCUUAUAUAGAUAAAAAUUCCUGCUAUGUUAAUAACAGAUCUGCGAGGAAUUUUGCUUUUGCUUCAGCUGGUUAAUGCACCAUUGCCUUGCUCCAGCUGGAUGCUUGAUGCUGCACCUGGAAGCUCGGGCAGAACGAUGCAGUCCAUGGAUGAUUUACAGGAUUUUUAGCUGCUAAAUACUAGGCUUGUUACAUGCACAUACUGCUGGGGCUUUGAGAACUGAUUUUUAAAUUUUUUUUCAAAGGAAUCUUGGACAAGUUUCAUGGUUGUGGCAGCAAAAGGCUCAUUGGUGGCAGGAUGCUGAGCUCACUGCUUUCUGGUAAAAAGGCUCUUUUUCUUCCAAAGCAAACUGUCACAACAGCAAAACUACUGUGCAUCUUUUCAAGACACACAUAGUGUUUUGUCUGCUAAGUGUAUUCUUAGAACCAGAUGAUCAUUUUAGCUGAAACUUUCUUAAAAUACCUGAAUCUGAGCCAGAUAUGUAAGGCAGAAGACAUUGUCCUGACAGCUGGAGUUUGGGGAGGUUAGAAGCAAGCAUAAACUAGACCUUACAGAAGGAAGUACUGGGCCAGCUAAUGAUGGAGAUUAUCAUCUUUUCCCAUUGCUGUUCCUGAUGACAGAAGAACAAAAGGUGCCCUUCUGCUUCCUAGCGAGGUCUCCAAAAUAAGGAAAGAAUAAUGGUCUUUGUUUAUGGUGAAAGGGAUUUUGACUGAGGUUAGCAGAGAAGCAAAGCAUCUUGGCAUUGUGUGUGAGGUAGAAGCUGCCCACACUUGGUGCUAAGUGUGCCUCCUAGAGCACAAGGAGCUAGAAAGGGUGAGAUGCUUUUGGUUUUGGCUUCAUUUAGAGCUGUUGUUGUACUCUCAACUUCUGUUUUCAGCUUGGAGACCUGAGAUUAAUUAAAAAUGCAGCAUAGAAUUUCCCAUCUUCCUGAAAAUAAAUGAUGUGAUCUCAUGGUGGUCCUGUAGGAGAUGCACAGGGAUGAAGUGGGAGACAAAAAAAUCAAGAAAAAAACUGCAUCAUACAGCUAUAUCUGUAUUAGGCCAAAUAUCUGUAUCCUGGGAUCAGAUUUCUGCUAUUUUGCUUGAGGGCAGCUUGUCCAUUCUGCUGGGAAAAGACACAGGGCGAGCCACAAGACGACCAUGGCUGUAUUGGGAAAGUUGGAGGAAAAGCAGACAUAUAGGAAAGGGAGUCCUGGGAGGUCUCUGUUUCUUUGGGGUGUAGCCCAUGUUUUCUACCUGGGGACAACCCCAUCUGUACAGCUCCUAAACCUGAAAGCACUGAUGCAUCUGGACAGCCUAAAGCAAGCAAGCCCAUGGUAAGGACUGGGAGAUGAGAAGUCAAGCCUCUGCCAGAAGCAAAGAGCCCAGCGCCAUGCACAGCAAAGGGGUAUGGGCAGCUAGGCUGUAAAAUUACAGCCAAAAUUACAAGAUGCUGCUUGCCAACUAUGUGGCUGGAAGGAGCAUGCCAGAGCAGACUGGGUUUCCUUCUCACCAUUGUCUGGCCUCGUGUUAGCCACUGCCUCUGCACAGUGUCUGGAUGAUGCACUAAAAACUGGAAAUAGAAGUACAGAAGUAAAAACUUGACUAAAAUGUCCAAGCUCAGGGGUGUUUCUGCAACAGUUGAAAAACUAGUGGGCAUGUCACAAUUAAAACUGAGCAAUAUCGACAGUGGGUGAUGGUGCUUCUAUGCCAGGAUUCCCACAAUGAGCAAGACAAGAUGUAUGUUGCACCUCUGGUGUCAGCUGGAAGGAGCCUAUUUCUUGAAGCAACAGGUCCUUUUCUGGUCCACACAUUUUCAGGGCAUCUCAUUUCACAUUUGCAGUCAUCUCAGAUCUUCUCACAAUCAAACUAAUUUCAAUACUUUCUUCCAACACAGAGCAGUCUUUACUGAGCACAUGGUAUCUUGGAAAACCUCUCAUAAAAUGACCAAGGAUAGAAUAGAAUAGUGCUGUGUGAAGUGACCUACUCUUGUGGGCCUGAUUUUUCUGAGUCUGAGAGAGUUCCAGCCUGUCAGUGGCUGAUCUGUUCCCAAGGGAAAGUCUCUUGAGAACAUCUCUUGCUCAAGGACUAUUUUUGUAAAUAAUUUCAUUUUCUCACAACAGUUCUGUACAGCUGUGAUUAGUGUGUUUUUCUCUUGUCCCACCAAUGGGACAGAGAGGUGAUGUUCCCUUUACCAAUCAUGUUAAACCUGUAUCGUAAUACCCUAUAAAAAGCUGCAGAGUUUGGAUAAUAAAGUUUUCUGAUCAUCUCGCUCUGGCUACUGUGAUUGAACCCACACUUCUACUUUGUGUCCAAUAGUGAUAUACACUGAUCCUCUAGCUGAGCUUCUGGGCCGCUGGAAGUUCCUUGCAGUUAAGAGUUUGCUGGAGGAUCACACUGCAGCCCACUUUGCUUUCCAAUUACUCCUGUUUGCCUGCAGAGCUUCAGAGGUGCCUACAUGGACUUCCUAGUUCACCACUGUAUGUCUGUUUGCCAAGUGUUUACUUGACCUAAAUUCUUUUGAAGACCAUCAGUUGUGACAACUUAGCACAGACUUUACAGAACUGGGUAGCUGAUUAAUAAGCACUGUGACCUGGACUCAAAAGCUCUGACAUUUUAUCAACAGUACAGGCAGGGUUUUUUUUCAAUUUUAUUUAUUUUUUAAUAAAUUUCUACAGAUUUCUUAAACUAUAUUUUUUUUUUUCUAAGUGUGAGAUUGAGCUGUUGUAUAUAUGUCUUAAAUUGCUAGUUCACCUUUCAGUUCUCAGCAUAACAUCUCUCCAGAAAGGGAUUUAAUUCUGAAGACUGUUGUGAUUCUCACUGAGUAGCUGUAUUAUACCAGGUAACUCACUGGAUUCAGAUGUCUGUUUUUAAUGCCAGUUGUUAUUGUGACAUGAUUAAAGGCACAAAAAUAUUUUA
Parus major (Great Tit) is the source of this 8911-nucleotide long non-coding RNA. RefSeq lists it as uncharacterized. The record is from RefSeq and is a predicted model, not a curated record. Lineage: Eukaryota; Metazoa; Chordata; Aves; Passeriformes; Paridae. The transcript is spliced from 2 exons.